Molecule: non-coding RNA, 272 nt
Organism: Xyrichtys novacula (pearly razorfish)
Lineage: Eukaryota; Metazoa; Chordata; Actinopteri; Labriformes; Labridae
Source: the annotation of a GenBank genome assembly
CCACAGACAAGUGCGCACACCAUCGUUGAACCUUGAGUGUGACGCGAUCGGGAGGGAGAGGCGGUCGUGUUGGGGGCGGCGUGACACAGCUCGGGCCCGCCAGUGCCCCAACGGGGCCCUAGUUAGGGCCCGAGCGUAGCUGCUAAGCAGCUGCGAGAGCCCUCUUGUUCCUGCAUGUUUCCUUCUUUUGUUAUUAGGGCCCGAGCGUAGCUGCUAAGCAGCUGCGAGAGCCCUCUUGUUCCUGUAGUUUCCUUCUUUUGUUAUUAUUAUUA